Molecule: long non-coding RNA, 534 nt
Organism: Acyrthosiphon pisum (pea aphid)
Lineage: Eukaryota; Metazoa; Arthropoda; Insecta; Hemiptera; Aphididae
Exons: 2
Source: RefSeq, a predicted model, not a curated record
ACUAUUGUUUACCGUUUACACAUUAUUGUCGUUCUGAAAACUUAGAACAUAGUUCAUACCGGAAACCCAGCUCGUCCUUUCGCAGUGACAUUUUCAAACACAGAAUGCUGCUCUCAAAAAUCUUCCAAAUAAAUGUCAUGCAGUAAAAACCAUGGACCUUGUUGUUAUAGUCAUUGGCUGGCAAUGGCUGUUUUGAUAACACUCCUGAAAUACUGAACUUAACCAUAACUGUUGUAUUACACGGUUAAACAUAUUUUGAUGUGCUGUUUAAGGCUACUAAUUGUGCAAAAAAAUGGGAUUAUUGUAGGACGACUAUAGAGCAAAACUUAGUCACUAAUUAGUAUUUUCAAAUCAUUCUGGGUUUUGUAGGCCCUUAUUUUAAAUUAAAAAAGUAUUUAAAUAGUAUUCAAAGUCAAGCAUAAAUCAUAAUAUUAUGUCUUAAAUUUAAUUUUAAGAUAUGAUAACAUAUAAAUAAUAACCCCUAUAAUUUAACUAACAAAAAGUUCACAUUUAUACUAAUAUCAAAAUAAAAAA